UUUUAUUUAAAAUAUAAAUAUAGUUUUUUUUUCUAAAUUUUUAUAGAAUGUGAUCGUGUAUGUUAAUUUAAUAAGUUUUAAUUAAUUAUAAUUAUUAAAAUUGAUAAAAAAAAAUGAGAGAAUCGCUUAAAUUUUUAAAGUUUGAUUUACAUAUUAAAAUUAAAUAAAUUAAAAUUUUAAAUGUGUCGAUUAAUAAGUUGAAGAAUAUUAUAUAUAUCUACUUAUUUAUUUAUAAAUAGUAAAUUUAAAUAAUUAAUAAAUUUAUAUAAUUAUUUUAUGUUUAGUGAAGGUAACCUCACCACUCUAUCUGAAGAGAUGACAAAAUUCAUAAAUAUAACUAUCAGCUUCAUAUUACCGAUCAGAAAAAAUGUAACUGCAGCAGUUGCAACUGCGUAAAAUCAAACAGACUAGGUGUAGUUAUAACUGUAGUAUUUGCAACUGCAUGUAUUUCCAACUACACUGUUUCUGCAACUACAUCCAACCAAACGGCCCUUUAGGGUUGCAUGAGUG
RNAcentral lists this long non-coding RNA (510 nucleotides) under Ananas comosus (pineapple). RNAcentral's name for it is "long non-coding RNA (ACOM_LNC025172)". The record is from RNAcentral. Lineage: Eukaryota; Viridiplantae; Streptophyta; Magnoliopsida; Poales; Bromeliaceae.